Labeo rohita (rohu) is the source of this 581-nucleotide non-coding RNA. The record is from the annotation of a RefSeq genome assembly. NCBI's taxonomy places the organism in Eukaryota, Metazoa, Chordata, Actinopteri, Cypriniformes, Cyprinidae.
GCGAGUUACAAAGUUUGAGCUGCUUGUGAUGAUCCAUGAUGUUUCUAUUGAGUCCCUGGUUCAUUCUUUUCUUCUCAGGUGAUGCAAGUGGAGAAGAAAUAACUCCCCUCUCCCCAUCUGAGCUUGGUAUCAAUGGUCACUCCAUUACUUUGGCCUGCAAUUAUGAUGGGUCUUACGCCAGUGAUUCUCUCCUGUGGUAUCGUCAAUACAGCAGCUCCAAACUAGAGUUUUUGUUUCUGGUUAGUGAAUCCGAUCUUCAGCAGCCAGCUGACCCUCCAAUACCUGGAGUGUCUGCUGAAUUAAAUAAGGAGAAGAACCGUGUGUAUCUGGAGAUCUCCUCUGCUUCAGUAUCAGACUCUGCGAUGUACUACUGUGCCCUGAAGCCCACAGUGACAGGAAACCCCAAAACACUUUUGGUUCCACAGCAGAAGGACCGUUAUGUUGCUGAAGUACAAAAGGGCAAAGAACAUAUGAUCCUGGAGAUCUCCAAAACUGAAGUGGCAGAUGCUGCAAUAUACUACUGUGCCCUGGUGCCCACAGUGACAGGAAACCCUUCAACACUGUACAAAAACCUGACAUGA